AAAAGUCGUAACAAGGUUUCCGUAGGUGAACCUGCGGAAGGAUCAUUAGUGAAUAUAGGACGUCCAACUUAACUUGGAGUCCGAACUCUCACUUUCUAACCCUGUGCACUUGUUUGGGAUAGUAACUCUCGCAAGAGAGCGAACUCCUAUUCACUUAUAAACACAAAGUCUAUGAAUGUAUUAAAUUUUAUAACAAAAUAAAACUUUCAACAACGGAUCUCUUGGCUC
Molecule: unclassified non-coding RNA, 228 nt
Filed under: air metagenome
Description: partial contains small subunit ribosomal RNA, internal transcribed spacer 1, and 5.8S ribosomal RNA
Rfam family: Eukaryotic small subunit ribosomal RNA (bases 1-48)
Source: RNAcentral